This 254-nucleotide ribosomal RNA is filed under the name uncultured bacterium. RNAcentral's name for it is "partial 16S ribosomal RNA". It matches the Rfam family "Bacterial small subunit ribosomal RNA", at positions 524 to 776 of the family's 1533-position model. The record is from RNAcentral.
UACGGGGGGAGCAAGCGUUGUUCGGAUUUACUGGGCGUAAAGGGCGCGUAGGCGGCCACCGCAAGUCAGUUGUGAAAUCUCUGGGCUUAACCCGGAAAGGUCAAUCGAUACUGCGGGGCUAGAGUGCAGAAGGGGCAACUGGAAUUCUCGGUGUAGCGGUGAAAUGCGUAGAUAUCGAGAGGAACACCUGCGGCGAAGGCGGGUUGCUGGGCUGACACUGACGCUGAAGCGCGAAAGCUAGGGGAGCGAACGGG